Molecule: long non-coding RNA, 201 nt
Organism: Mesocricetus auratus (golden hamster)
Lineage: Eukaryota; Metazoa; Chordata; Mammalia; Rodentia; Cricetidae
Exons: 2
Source: RefSeq, a predicted model, not a curated record
GGGCUGAAGAUGGAUGCCCCAACGUUACAGAGGAACUUUGGGUGACUGUCCAGGUCCAUACCACAAGAUACCUGACACUGGCUGGGUGACCAAGGGCCUGAAAUGGAUAGCCAGGGGUCUAUGGUAAAACCAGAUACUACUAUUCAAAAUAAGACAAAACAAAACCUCCAAAAACUAGUAAUAAAAUGAUUACCAAUGACA